UCCGAAUUGGUGUAGUGGCUAACAUUUGACGCUCUCAUGUUCAUAGAAUAAAAGGACCGUCAAGCCCGGGGUUCGAUUCCCCGAUUCGGAG
Molecule: transfer RNA, 91 nt
Filed under: Hypoxylon rubiginosum
Lineage: Eukaryota; Fungi; Ascomycota; Sordariomycetes; Xylariales; Hypoxylaceae
Description: tRNA-Glu
Rfam family: tRNA
About the family: Transfer RNA (tRNA) molecules are approximately 80 nucleotides in length. Their secondary structure includes four short double-helical elements and three loops (D, anti-codon, and T loops).
Source: RNAcentral